GCAUAUCAAUAAGCGGAGGAAAAGAAACCAACAGGGAUUGCCCCAGUAACGGCGAGUGAAGCGGCAACAGCUCAAAUUUGAAAUCUGGCCCUCGGGUCCGAGUUGUAAUUUGCAGAGGAUGCUUUGGGCGAGGCGCCGUCCGAGUUCCCUGGAACGGGACGCCGGAGAGGGUGAGAGCCCCGUACGGUCGGAUGCCGAGCCUCUGUAAAGCUCCUUCGACGAGUCGAGUAGUUUGGGAAUGCUGCUCUAAAUGGGAGGUAAAUCUCUUCUAAAGCUAAAUAUUGGCCACAGACCGAUAGCGCACAAGUAGAGUGAUCGAAAGAUGAAAAGCACUUUGAAAAGAGAGUUAAACAGCACGUGAAAUUGUUGAAAGGGAAGCGCUUGUGACCAGACGUGUGGCGGGUGAAUCAGCCGGCGCUCGCGCCGGUGCACUUUGCCCGCCACAGGCCAGCAUCGGUUCGCCGCUGGGGAGAAAGACGGUGGGAAUGUGGCUCUUCGGAGUGUUAUAGCCCGCCGUGCAAUACCCUCCGGCGGACCGAGGUUCGCGCUCCGCAAGGAUGCUGGCGUAAUGGUCACCAGCGACCCGUCUUGAAACACGGACC
RNAcentral lists this ribosomal RNA (602 nucleotides) under Triadelphia pulvinata. Its description in RNAcentral is "eukaryotic LSU rRNA". It matches the Rfam family "Eukaryotic large subunit ribosomal RNA", at positions 38 to 667 of the family's 3401-position model. The record is from RNAcentral. Lineage: Eukaryota; Fungi; Ascomycota; Sordariomycetes.